CGGACUGUAGUCUGCAACCCGACUACACGAAGCUGGAAUCGCUAGUAAUCGCGGAUCAGAAUGUCGCGGUGAGUACGUUCCCGGGUCUUGUACACACCGCCCGUCACACCAUGGGAGUCGGGAAUGCCCGAAGUCAGUGACCCAACCUAUUGGAGGGAGCUGCCGAAGGCAGGUCUGAUAACUGGGGUGAAGUCGUAACAAGGUACC
This 207-nucleotide ribosomal RNA is filed under the name uncultured bacterium. Its description in RNAcentral is "partial 16S ribosomal RNA". It matches the Rfam family "Bacterial small subunit ribosomal RNA", at positions 1294 to 1500 of the family's 1533-position model. The record is from RNAcentral.